GGAUGUGAGGGCGAUCUGGCUGCGACAUCUCUCACCCCAUUGAUUGCCAGGGUUGAUUCAGCUGAUCUGGCUGGCUAGGCGAGUGUCCCCUUCCCCCCUCACCACUCCAUGUGCUUCCCUCAGGAAGCUGUGUGCUCAGUUGAAGAGGACGGCCUUCCCCGAAUAGAAACAGUCUUCAGUCUAGGGUAUACGAGUACCUGUGCUCCCCUGCUAGAACCUCCAAACAAGCUCUCAAGAACAUACAUCAUUAGCUCCGUUUUUAUAAAUUAGAAAACAUACACAGAAAUACUACUCAACUUGCCCCACUGCGUAGAGCUACCAGAGAUUUGU
This is an unclassified non-coding RNA of Erinaceus europaeus (western European hedgehog), 330 nucleotides long. Its record names the gene 7SK. It matches the Rfam family "7SK RNA". Rfam says of the family: 7SK was discovered as an abundant small nuclear RNA in the mid-70s but a possible function has only recently been suggested. Two independent studies have found that 7SK RNA binds the CDK9/cyclin T complex (known as elongation factor P-TEFb). Lineage: Eukaryota; Metazoa; Chordata; Mammalia; Eulipotyphla; Erinaceidae. The record is from Ensembl.